This 253-nucleotide ribosomal RNA is filed under the name uncultured bacterium. RNAcentral describes it as "partial 16S ribosomal RNA". It matches the Rfam family "Bacterial small subunit ribosomal RNA", at positions 524 to 776 of the family's 1533-position model. The record is from RNAcentral.
GACGUAGGGCGCGAGCGUUGUCCGGAUUUAUUGGGCGUAAAGAGCUCGUAGGCGGCUUGUCGCGUCGACCGUGAAAACUUGGGGCUCAACCCCAAGCCUGCGGUCGAUACGGGCAGGCUCGAGUUCGGUAGGGGAGACUGGAAUUCCUGGUGUAGCGGUGAAAUGCGCAGAUAUCAGGAGGAACACCGGUGGCGAAGGCGGCAUCCUGGACCGACAUUGACGCUGAUGAGCGAAAGCUAGGGGAGCAAACGGG